GUGUGUGUGUGUGUAGGAUGAACAUAUGUAGAGAACACAAAAUGCUCUCAACAACACCCAAACACAACCGGCCACCAUGGCUGCCGCGGGCCGCCGCCGUCGCCGCCCCGCCGCCGCCGUCGCCUCCCCGCCUCCGCCGUCCCGCCGCUGACCGCUGCUGCCGCCGCUGUUGCAGCCGGCUGCCGCCGCUGUUUGUCGCGGUCCGCCGCCUCGUUCGACGCGUUUCGUUGGUUCGUUUACUCGCACUUGUUCGUUGAACCUCGGUGUCUCGACCGGUUAGUCAUUAACCGAGGUAUAUUUUUCUCAUCGGUAGUUAAAUAUAUUUUUUACUGUGCUCGUAUUUGUAUGUAACCGGAUCCUGUCGGAUUUCGUUUUGUUGAUCACUUGUUUUUAUUUCUGCUGCGUUUUUAUUAAUUAACUUGCUUAAUUAACUAUCUAUUAUUUUUGAACCGGGUUUUUGAUAAAUAUAAUUUUAACCGAUCACCACGGAAACCCAACAGUGGUAUCAGAGCCUUGGUUACAACAUACGAGUCGGUACCGGUCCUUUUAACCGGAAUUAGAACACAAACUUUAUUUAUUUAAAGUUUAUGAUCUAAGUAUUUUUAAGGGCACUUUUAUUUUGGUCAAUAUUUUAUUUGUUUUGCUUGACCAAAAACAUUGCCCGGUUUUAUUUUGUGAUUGUUGUGCGAUAUGUAAAUCCGGCCCGACCUUUUUUGUGGUUGUAUAUUUUAUUCGGUUUUGUAAUUAUUAUUUUUUGGCCACCGAGAUGGUUCAAAGUUGUAAUAGUUUAGUUUAUGGUUUUGGCUCGUCUUGUGGUUCAAAGUUGUAAUAGAUAGGCCCUUUUUGUCUUUGUUGUAUUUACUUGUUAAAUAUUGUUGAUACGAAGACCCGAAGCAAAUCCGAAGCAAAACCGAAUGCCAAGAGGAGUCUUGGAGUUAGUGGGAGUUGCUCAAGACAACGAGAUGCACUCAAGUCCAUCCUUGUGGUUGUUUGUGUGAUGUGACCCCGUGACCCGUUUGAUCUUGCUAUUAGGCUCUAGCAAGAUCGAACAAUUUUGGCCAUAUGGAUUUACAUAUUUAUCUUGCUAUUGUGGUUGCUUUUAUCUUAUAAAUUGUUAUAACGUAACCAACCUAAAUACCAACAUGUUUUUAAAAGGAGUUUUAAAAUAUUAAAAACAAUCACAUUAAAACAAGUUCUAAAUUGUUUUUACAACUUGUUAAAGUUUUAUUAUAAAACAAAGGUUGUUUUUGAAACAAAUAAUAACCAAUUAAGUUUUGCAAAUUAAAUUAAUUUUAUUUUCCAAAACGAUCAACUUAAUAGUUUUCUGUUAACUUAAAAUUGGUUAUUCCAAGUCGCGACAAACUUAGUUUUAUAGGUUAUCUAAAACUAAUUGUCCCGAGAGGUGUAAGGGUCCUUUUGGUUAUGUCGCAAAUUUAAUAUCUAAAUUAAAACCGACUAUAACGACCCUAUUUGGUAAAAAUUAAAAUCAAUAGUCUAUGCCAUCCUACUACUAGUAACACUUGGGGCAUAAUGCGAACCAUCAGUGUUGGAGCCACAACACAACACUUGGUGUCUAGUUUAUCCUUCCAAGGUGCAAGGGCUUCGUCGACACAUCCGACCCUUCCACAUGUGACCGUUUUAGGACGACUAUUACUUUUCUUCUCGUGUUACGUGCCCCAGCUGUCUCGAGAACAAAAGUGGCAUAGAUGAGGCCAAACUUAUCAAUGCAAGGACAAUAGGUUAUCCUCGCAGCCUCAUAAACCUUGGGAGUUGUGCUUUUCUCACAAUUGACAAUCGUUGUCAGUCCGCUUGAACCUCUUGCCAAUGUUGCGUGCUGUAACACCCCGAAAUCGGGGUUGGUAAUUAAACCGUGUUAAUAAUAAUGAACGGGUAAAAUACCGUAGGUGUUAAGUAAACCCGGUGAAUAUUAGGAUUUAAAUAAUAUAUUAAAAGGAUGAAAAAAAAUACUUUGAGAAAACAAAGUAUAUAAAGGGCCCGAGUUAACGGGACUUAAAAUAAAACGGAGUAUGAAUAAGAUAAAAUAACUAGGAAUAAAUAACCUAGUUAGUCACAAGUCUUGUAGUAAUAAAGAAAUUGGUUAAAACACACUAUAUGCAACUUGGGGAAAGUUGAGGGGCCAAAUAUGAAAAACUGGAAACUAGUUUUAAUUAAAUAAAAUCCUACACCAAAACACGCACACCAAGUGUGUGUUCUGGUCGAUACAAUCACAGGAGCCAAGGGGCUGUCAUACUCAAACCCUAACAAGCACAUAAUCAACAAAUUGAAGGGGCAAAUCAAGUCCAAAUCAAAAUCUAAGCUCAAAUUAGUGAUCACCUCCAUGAAGGGAUCAUAAGUUGACGCUCGACAAGCUAGGUAGAAGCUUGGGGAAAGAAACGGGUUAAAUGGUACAAGUACGCCGAAAAAGAGAAUAGCCGGAUGCAAGCUACUGUGUUAUGCGUCGCCUUACACCACCAAUCACCGUCAUUGUUUAUGUCGUCGCACACGUGUGGUUUUGCCGCCUUUGGUUUUGAAGACGACGCUUGAAUUCCGCCGUGAAACUGAACAUCCGGUGAACAAGGACAAGUUUUCAACAAGUACAUUUGAGACAACUAGCAGGCAUAAAUGGAAAUGUGGAUUUAAAAUUAGAACCAGUGGAACUAUUUCUUGGGUUGGCCGAUUUUUCAAGAAUCAAAAUCUUGAUAUGUGGGUAACUUCAUAGGUCGUGGAAUGCACACAUACUGACUUGACUUCCUUCAUUUCAUUUAUUAUAAGCUUUUUGGUUUUCUUUUAUUUAUUGGAUGAAGUUCAACUUAACUCUCAAAUGUAGUGUUAUGGUGGAAACCUUGGUGAGGUUCCUAAAGACAAUUACUUGGUUUAUGAUCCGAAGGAGGCUUAUUUUUUUUUAGCUUUUAUUAUGUGAAAAAUGUAGGCUUUCACAAAAUUCAAGGGAUUGGAGUAGGUUUUGUACCAGGGAACUUGUAUUAGGAGGUGCUUGAUGGAGAGGGCUUCAUUCCAGUGCGCUAAUGACAUGUGCAGGUGGGGCCAAUUCUUUUCAACCAAUCAAAUCUUUUGCUCUUUAUUUAUUUGAUAUUGCAACAUGACAGGUCAUGCGUGUCGGUGGUAGCUGGUCAAAACCAGUCGUUUUGGUAUAGUCAAAACAAGUAGGGUCGGACUCUAAUGUAAUGGCUACAUUGUUGGUUUGUGUAGUAACCAAAUGUGUAGUUGUUGAAUUAGUGCGAAAGAAGCUAUGAGGGUUUUAUACAGCAGAUGAAUGCGUUUUGUGCCCCGAUUGCGACCACAAACGUGGUCUCUACAAUUCUUGCAAUGGUUAGAUGGGGACCAUGCAAAUGCACAUCUCAAUUCUACACAUAUCUAUUUGUAAUUGCCCUCAAUAAUUCUACAAAGUCAUGAAAAAUUGUUAGCAGGCAAGAGAUGCAAAGAUUUAGCUGAAUUCAUUGAAGGAGUUUCACUUAUGAUGCAUAUCAAAUGACUGAGUCUCAACCCGAUGGUAAGUUUUGAGCGUUCUUAACUGCAGAAAAAUCCUUCAUUUUUCUAUCUCUAGCUUUGUAGAAUAUUUUUCUACUUUUAAAAUACUACUAAAGUUGGAAAAC
This 3611-nucleotide long non-coding RNA is filed under the name Helianthus annuus (common sunflower). Its description in RNAcentral is "hypothetical non coding rna". Lineage: Eukaryota; Viridiplantae; Streptophyta; Magnoliopsida; Asterales; Asteraceae. The record is from RNAcentral.